Molecule: ribosomal RNA, 664 nt
Filed under: uncultured Thanatephorus
Lineage: Eukaryota; Fungi; Basidiomycota; Agaricomycetes; Cantharellales; Ceratobasidiaceae
Description: eukaryotic LSU rRNA
Rfam family: 5.8S ribosomal RNA (bases 227-380)
Source: RNAcentral
UCCGUAGGUGAACCUGCGGAAGGAUCAUUAAUGAAUUACAAGUCGGUCCUCUGUGCUGGUGGCAACACAUGUGCACGAGGGUCGCAAAUCCACACACCUGUGCAUCUUUGACUCUGAGGGCGAUCUUGGUCGCCAGCUUGAUUUGACAUCAGUCGGAUCAGACUUGGAGUAUUUUUACACACUCUGAAUGUAAAUGAAUGUAUCUGUGCAUAACGCGCAAAUAAACAACUUUCAACAACGGAUCUCUUGGCUCUCGCAUCGAUGAAGAACGCAGCGAAAUGCGAUAAGUAAUGUGAAUUGCAGAAUUCAGUGAAUCAUCGAAUCUUUGAACGCACCUUGCACCCUUUGGUAUUCCGAAGGGUACGCCCGUUUGAGUGUCAUUGUAAUCUCACAUCAACAACUUUUGUUGUGGAUGGUGGACCUGGACGUAUGUUGUGUCAACAACUCGUCUGAAAUGUAUGAGUGUACCCUGCCUUGCAGCGUAUCCAGUGUGAUAAGCAUCUUCACUGGUUCAGCCUUCACGGGCGACGCCUCGGCCACAGGUAGUAUGCUUCUAAUCGUCCCUCUGGACAAAUAACCUUGACAAUUUGACCUCAAAUCGGGUGGGACUACCCGCUGAACUUAAGCAUAUCAAUAAGCGGAGGAAAAGAAACUAACAAGGAUU